ACCCCGGGAGGGGAGUGAAAGAGAACCUGAAACCCUGUGUCUACAAGCUGUGGGACCUCUUUAUAUGAGGGACUGCGUACUUUUUGUAGAACGGUCCGGCGAGUUGUGCGUACUGGCGAGGUUAAGGACUUAAGGUCUGGAGCCGAAGUGAAAGCAAGCGUUAAUAGCGCGUCAAGUCAGUGAGUGCAGACCCGAAACCGGGUGACCUAUCCAUGUCCAGGUUGAAGCUUCCGUAAGAGGAAGUGGAGGACCGAACCCACAUCCGUUGAAAAGGGUGGGGAUGAGGUGUGGAUAGCGGAGAAAUUCCAAUCGAACCCGGAGAUAGCUGGUUCUCCUCGAAAUAGCUUUAGGGCUAGCCUCAUGAGAGUCUUAUGGAGGUAGAGCACUGAAUUGCCUAGGGGGCGUCAAAGCUUACCAAAGCAUAUCAAACUCCGAAUGCCAUCAAGAUGAUUCAUGGGAGUCAGACCAUACGAGAUAAGUUGGAUGGUCAAAAGGGAAAGAGCCCAGACCUACAGCUAAGGUCCCAAAGUGCGUGUUAAGUGGAAAAGGAUGUGGGGAUUCUAAGACAACUAGGACGUUGGCUUAGAAGCAGCCAUUCAUUGAAAGAGUGCGUAAUAGCUCACUAGUCGAGAGUCCCUGCGCCGAAAAUGUCCGGGGCUGAAACACGACACCGAAGCUUAGGAAUGUGUAAACAUUGGUAGAGGAGCAUUGCUAGCGGGAUGAAGCCAUACCGUAAGGAGUGGUGGACUGCUAGGAAGAGAGAAUGCCGGAAUGAGUAGCGAGAUGAAGGUGAGAAUCCUUCAGGCCGAAUAUCUAAGGUUUCCAGAGUAAAGCUGAUCUGCUCUGGGUAAGUCGGGACCUAAGGCGAGGUCGAAAGACGUAGUCGAUGGAUAACAGGUUGAAAUUCCUGUACCGCAUAUAAACAGAACUGUGGGGACACAGACAGGGAAUGGAAUCCGGGAAUGGAUAUCCCGGUGCAAGCGAGGUAGGAGUGCUGUUGGCAAAUCCGCAGCACGAUCUGAAGACGUGACGCGUACCGAACAUAAGUAGGGAAGUCCAGGCCCCUGGCUGUCAAGAAAAGCCGCUAUUGUUUUAUAUGUGCCCGUACCGCAAACCGACACAGGUGGAUGAGGAGAGAAUCCUAAGGCCGACGGGAGAAGUAUUGUUAAGGAACUCGGCAAAAUGACUCCGUAACUUCGGGAGAAGGAGUGCCAUGAGAGUGGCCGCAGAGAAAUGGCCCAAGCAACUGUUUAGCAAAAACACAGGUCUAUGCAAAACCGCAAGGUGAAGUAUAUGGGCUGACGCCUGCCCGGUGCUGGAAGGUUAAGGGGAGAGGUUAGCGCAAGCGAAGCUUUGAACUUAAGCCCCAGUAAACGGCGGCCGUAACUAUAACGGUCCUAAGGUAGCGAAAUUCCUUGUCGGGUAAGUUCCGACCCGCACGAAAGGCGUAAUGAUUUGGGCACUGUCUCAACGAUACACCCGGUGAAAUUGAAAUACCAGUGAAGAUGCUGGUUACCUGCGCCAGGACGGAAAGACCCCAUGGAGCUUUACUCCAGUUUGAUACUGGGAUUCGGCAUGGUAUGUACAGGAUAGGUGGGAGACUGAGAAGGUAUGACGUCAGUUGUACCGGAGUCGCUGUUGGGAUACCACCCUUACCAUGUUGGAUUUCUAACCUGUGGCCGUAAGCCGGUCAGGGGACAAUGUCAGGCGGGGAGUUUGACUGGGGCGGUCGCCUCCGAAAGGGUAUCGGAGGCGCUCAAAGGUUCCCUCAGAAUGGUUGGAAACCAUUCGAAGAGUGCAAAGGCAGAAGGGAGCUUGACUGCGACACCGACGGGUGGAGCAGGU
RNAcentral lists this ribosomal RNA (1845 nucleotides) under human gut metagenome. RNAcentral describes it as "bacterial LSU rRNA". It matches the Rfam family "Bacterial large subunit ribosomal RNA", at positions 523 to 2398 of the family's 2925-position model. The record is from RNAcentral.